GACGAACGCUGGCGGCGUGCUUAACACAUGCAAGUCGAACGGAAAGGCCCUGCUUUUGUGGGGUGCUCGAGUGGCGAACGGGUGAGUAACACGUGAGUAACCUGCCCUUGACUUUGGGAUAACUUCAGGAAACUGGGGCUAAUACCGGAUAGGAGCUCCUGCUGCAUGGUGGGGGUUGGAAAGUUUCGGCGGUUGGGGAUGGACUCGCGGCUUAUCAGCUUGUUGGUGGGGUAGUGGCUUACCAAGGCUUUGACGGGUAGCCGGCCUGAGAGGGUGACCGGCCACAUGGGGACUGAGAUACGGCCCAGACGCCUACGGGAGGCAGCAGUGGGGAAUAUUGCACAAUGGGCGGAAGCCUGAUGCAGCAACGCCGCGUGCGGGAUGACGGCCUUCGGGUUGUAAACCGCUUUCGCCUGUGACGAAGCGUGAGUGACGGUAAUGGGUAAAGAAGCAACGGCUAACUACGUG
Molecule: ribosomal RNA, 468 nt
Filed under: uncultured bacterium
Lineage: Bacteria
Description: partial 16S ribosomal RNA
Rfam family: Bacterial small subunit ribosomal RNA
Source: RNAcentral